This 1893-nucleotide unclassified non-coding RNA is filed under the name Ixodes scapularis (black-legged tick). Its description in RNAcentral is "uncharacterized LOC120850091, transcript variant X1". Lineage: Eukaryota; Metazoa; Arthropoda; Arachnida; Ixodida; Ixodidae. The record is from RNAcentral.
GAGCGACGACACUACGGCGCAUGCGCGCUGCUAGCGGAAAAUUAGCGGAGCUGCGGAGGCUAGCGGAGGCGCGCUGUUCUGCAAAAAUAGCGGGGGAGGUAGCGGGAUGUGCUAGCGCGGGUCUCGCGAGAACGAGUCGUUGCGAGAUUAGGGAAGGCCGGGGAGAUCCAGCGUUCUCGAUCACUUCCAAGAAGUCCGCGAUGUCCGCCGCGUUGAAUGUGCCCGCUGAGCGGUCGCGCUUCAUCGUGGCAGACGCCAUUCUGCUACUACAAGAGAUAGCAGCGACAAACCCAUUCGAUGACCACGACAGGUGGCGAGCAAUCACAGAGAUGGUCAACAAGACAACCGUAAAAAACUUCACAGCUCGCGCCAUACGCGAACGCUGCGACCUGCUACUCGGCCACUUUCGUCGAGAAGACAGGGCAAACUUAAGAAAGUAAGUACAGUAACCUUUGUUCCUUGAGCGUAUUUUAAGCGGAAAUCGGCGAAACAUUCGGUCUGCGGCUCGUUCUGAGAUCCACUGCCUGAACUCACCUGUGCAGGACUGGCAAGCGGUGAUGCAAUGAGGGCACAGCCACGGAUACGCCAGAUUUGUAUUCAUAGUACGGGUGUCGUGUUUUCGGAGUUUAUAUCUUGUGAAAUUGGGAGACUGUUUUACGGAGCAUAUAUUUUGCAAGGAAAUCGUUGUUUAACGCAGUUUAUUUUCGUUAUAUUUCCAAUACUCCGAAAUUAAUAAAGAGAUGGUCUGCGUUGCUCUUUCCCAGAUUUUCCAGUGAUUUUUCCCGCCCCGGCCAGCGUUUUUUAGUCAGCUCAUAUCGAUUCCCACUGUACAUUUUAUUUUCCUCUUCCCUUGCUCAUGGGGAUGACCUUUUAAGUAGCCAUGUGGCUUGACCACAUGAGACAAAAUGUGAAAAUUGAUCGGAUGCAGAGUUUUGUAUUCCUGUUUGAUAAGAGCCAAUGGCUAUGUUGAUGCAGCAUGACUUUUCAUGAGGCAGUUACUUGCUGCAGGUGUGACUAAAUAAAAUUCAGGGUUGUUGCGUGCAGAUAUGCUAAAUCUUAACAACUCAACUCACAUCUAACAAUUAACGAUACUAAAUCACCUCGUGUUGAAUUGAAAUAUAUACUCCUGCUGCAAUCAUUUCCAACUUAUUCUUUAAACAUUAGGUCUGGCACAGAGGAGCAAUACUCUGAAAAGGAGCACCUGCUCCAAGAAAUAAAUGGCAUGGCGAGGGAGUUCGGCCACCAAGUCAGGGUCCAGCCCAGGAAAGUGGGCAUGACGCCGGGCAACGCCAUAGGGCCAGGCAGCAGGACCAACAAAGCUUCUGCCAGGGCAGAGCUACACGCCGCCAAUGCCAUCAGGGAGACAGCUGUGACGGCGGUCAAUGCAGCAGCCGCUGAGCACUCUUGGCAUCGGUGUCGUUCUUGGAGCUUCAUCACUAUGCAUUUCCGACAUUCUUGAACUACGAUGUGUGAGAAUGGAGCCAGAAGCACGCCUGCAGUUGCCACGCCUGCCACCGGAGGCCCUUCGCAGUCGACGUCCACCGAUGGGGCCAAUGGGUCCGAUCGCACGAGGUCACCACCACCACCUAGGACAAGAACUGCGGCACUGCGAGGAAAGAAGAAAACUCGCGAUGGGAACGUGGCCGCCUUCUUGCAGCAGCGCAGUCAUCAGGAGCGAGCCAUUCGAGAGAGGGAGCUCGAUAUAGAAGAGUGGAGACUCGCUCUAGAUGAAAAACGGCUGGAGCUCGAGCGUGAACGAUUUGCCGAGGAAGCCCAGGCGAGAGCCGAGGAAAGGCGCGAGCUCUCCGAACAGCGACGGAUCAUGUUCGAGUUCCUGCUCGCUCAGGCCAAAAGGAGUUGAAGAUUUGUGGCUCUACUUCCAAUAAAUGAAAA